Molecule: non-coding RNA, 253 nt
Organism: Phaethon lepturus (White-tailed tropicbird)
Lineage: Eukaryota; Metazoa; Chordata; Aves; Phaethontiformes; Phaethontidae
Source: the annotation of a RefSeq genome assembly
GUUCCCUGGCCCAGGCAGCACUGACUCAGCCGCCCUCCGUGUCAGCGAACCUGGGACAAACUGCCCAGAUCACCUGUAGCAGCAGCUGGGUUGGCUGGUACCAGCAGAAGACUCCUGGCAAUGCCCCUGUCACUGUGAUCUACUGGGAUGACGAGAGGCCCUCGGGCAUCCCUUCACGGUUCCCCGGAUCCACGUCUGGCUCCACGGCCACGUUAACCAUCAGUGGGGUCCAAGCCGAGGACGAGGCCGUCUG